AUUGAACGCUGGCGGCAGGCCUAACACAUGCAAGUCGAGCGGUAACGCGGGGCAACCCGGCGACGAGUGGCGAACGGGUGAGUAAUAUAUCGGAACGUGCCCUGGAGUGGGGGAUAACGUAGCGAAAGUUACGCUAAUACCGCAUACGAUCCAAGGAUGAAAGCAGGGGACCUUCGGGCCUUGUGCUCCUGGAGCGGCCGAUAUCUGAUUAGCUAGUUGGUGGGGUAAAAGCCUACCAAGGCGACGAUCAGUAGCUGGUCUGAGAGGAUGAUCAGCCACACUGGGACUGAGACACGGCCCAGACUCCUACGGGAGGCAGCAGUGGGGAAUAUUGGACAAUGGGCGCAAGCCUGAUCCAGCCAUGCCGCGUGAGUGAUGAAGGCCUUCGGUUGUAAGACGUCUUUCGCACGCGACGAUGAUGACGGUAGCGUGAG
This 434-nucleotide ribosomal RNA is filed under the name uncultured bacterium. Its description in RNAcentral is "bacterial SSU rRNA". It matches the Rfam family "Bacterial small subunit ribosomal RNA", at positions 30 to 484 of the family's 1533-position model. The record is from RNAcentral.